This 253-nucleotide ribosomal RNA is filed under the name uncultured bacterium. RNAcentral's name for it is "partial 16S ribosomal RNA". It matches the Rfam family "Bacterial small subunit ribosomal RNA", at positions 524 to 776 of the family's 1533-position model. The record is from RNAcentral.
UACGUAGGCAGCAAGCGUUGUUCGGAAUUAUUGGGCGUAAAGGGCGCGUAGGCGGCCCGGUAAGUCAAAGGUGAAAUCCCUCGGCUCAACUGAGGAACUGCCUUUGAAACUGUCGGGCUUGAGGCCGGGAGGGGGUAGCGGAAUUCCCAGUGUAGCGGUGAAAUGCGUAGAUACUGGGAGGAACACCAGUGGCGAAGGCGGCUACCUGGACCGGUUCUGACGCUGAUGCGCGAAAGCGUGGGUAGCAAACAGG